RNAcentral lists this long non-coding RNA (223 nucleotides) under Solanum tuberosum (potato). RNAcentral describes it as "long non-coding RNA (STUB_LNC001097)". Lineage: Eukaryota; Viridiplantae; Streptophyta; Magnoliopsida; Solanales; Solanaceae. The record is from RNAcentral.
UCUCCCACUUCCGCACUGGAGCAUCGGUGCAUCUUCUCUUCACAUGCCCGAAUCAUUACAACCUCGCUUCCCACAUCUUGUCCUCUAUCAAGGCCACUCCUACCUUGUCUCGCAUAUCAUUAUUUCUAAUCUCAGCUCUCCUAGUAUGCCCAUACAUGUAUCUCAACAUCCUCAUUUUCACAACUUUUCUGAAUAUGAGAGUUAUUGACCAAACCAACAUUCC